ACCAUGGAAACCAGGAUGGUGAUGCGUCGAGAGCAGGAGGAGCAGUCGUCCCAGAUGUCUCACAGCAUGCAGCUGUCCUCCCAGAUCAAGAAGAAGACCUUCACUUCAAGCGAUGAGGAGGCCUCCUAUUCAGGUGUCUUUCCCAUCAUACCCGGUGAUGUGAUGUCAGUCAAAGAGGUCCUCGACAUGGACAACUUUCCUCGGCACAGGACAUGAUGUGCUCAGAUGAACACAGUGUAGACGGAUAGUUUAGGAUGGAGGCUGGAAAAAGCUGAAGAUGACUGACCUCUACGGGCCAAAAACGAAACGAUGGAAGGAUGAAGCUGAACGCUCUUGAGAACUGGCACACUAUUUCUAGACCUUGAGCGUUUGCAAGAUGGGGGAGCAUGACAUUCGCUUUGAUUUGUGCGGAAACGAAUGUGCUAGAUCAUUCUGUACUGGCAACUACAUGUUCCUAUCAGAUUCACGUAAUGGUCUCUCUGGUAUCUUCCCC
Oreochromis aureus is the source of this 493-nucleotide long non-coding RNA. The record is from Ensembl. Lineage: Eukaryota; Metazoa; Chordata; Actinopteri; Cichliformes; Cichlidae.